Molecule: non-coding RNA, 6817 nt
Organism: Macaca mulatta (Rhesus monkey)
Lineage: Eukaryota; Metazoa; Chordata; Mammalia; Primates; Cercopithecidae
Source: RefSeq, a predicted model, not a curated record
UGUGCUGCACCCAUUAACUCAUCAUUUACAUUAGGUGUAUCUCCUAACGCUAUCCCUCCCCGAUACCCCCUCCCCACAAUAGGACCCAGUGUGUGAUGUUCAAAGAAAGGGAGAACACGAGCAAGAAAAGUAGACAGAAAUGGGCGUAACUGGGGCAAGUAGAACUGAUCAAGGUAAAUAGAGACAUAAAUAGAGAAAGUAAUUUGAAGGACAUUGUGUUAACACACACAGGAAUGUGUACGCACACACACACUUGCACAUACACAUUUCAUCUUGUCUUCCGGACGAUGACAUUCAGGAAUAAGCUCUUCAGUUUGGGAAAUAGCUGCCCAGAGUUGUGACUGAGAAAUGUGUUUCAGCUUAAAGAGACUAGAGUAACAUGUGGUUAAGGGACUCCUGCGAAAUGAGCAGUACCAAGUGUGCAAUGACUGUGCACAAAGGCAGGUUUUAGAGGCUGUGUAACAGGGUGGGUGGUCUGUGCUUUAACCUGGCUUCACUCCUUUAACUGGUUGUGACUCUGCAUAAGUCAUUUAAUCCACAGCAAAAGAUAGAUGCUUGAAAACUGCUUUAAUACAUGCGUAUUUAUUUAUGUUGACAACCUCUGCAUGUCACUCAGUAAAAAUUUCCAGGCUACUUCCAAUAAUAAUGAAACAGAAGGAUAAACUAAAUUAUGUCAGAGGAACAUAAUAUGUAAAAAAUAUAAUAAAAUUAAAGAUGAGAUUAGCACCUGAAAAUCUCUCUAUUAUGACUCGAAAGCCUACUAAUUUGGCCCUGAGAGGUAGGGCCCUUCCUAAUUUUGACAGUGAGAAAUAUAUUGUCCGCGGUCCUGAUAUAAAGGACCUGUGGGGGCAGAGGGCAGUACCCUGGAUAACGCCCCUCCAGUGGAGAAAGGAAAGAUCCCAUUAUGACCGCUACGUCCCUCUCGGAAGAUGGCAGAGGAGGCCAGCACUCCUGCCAGUACACGACAAAGUGUCACAGCCCAAAUUAUCCAGCUUCAUCUUCACUAUCUAUACCAGCCAUGUUCAAUGACUUAUAAAAAGCAGUGGUACUCUUCUAGUCCAAUUAAAUCUUGCACAAGCACACAGAAAGCAGGGCGCUGGGUCAUUGUUUCAGAGGGGGAACGGCUGACCAUUUUCUUAGGGCUUCUCUUUCCCCACGCAGAUACUGGUGAGGCCUGAUGAGGCACCUUUGCUCGGAAUCUCAAACGUCUGAAAAUCCCUUGUCCGAUCUAGGCGAAAGGAUGGACAUCAGAAAGGAAGGAGGGAGGGAGGGAAGAAAUAGAGGAAUGAAGGGAGGCAGGAAAGAAUGUUGGUUUUUACUGCGACUUGCGCAGGAUUCUUGUGGAAGCCAGUAGGGAAGUUGUUUUGAAUCGGAUAAAUUGGGGCUUCCUCUUCUUGUUCAUCGAGACCACUCUUUUGGCUCUUUUCAUUCCAAUAAAAAAACCACGAUACACUAAGAGACUGAAGAGAUAGUACAAUGCACUUUUAAGUGUCUGGGCUCCAAACCAAACUGUCUGGGUUUGAAUCCUGGCCCUGCUACUUAUUGCUGUGAUACUGGAUAAGUUACUUAACUUCUCUGUGCCUGUUUUCCCAUCUGCAGAAAUAGGUGCUAAUAGUACCUACCUCAUGGGAUUGUUGCGAGGAGAAAAUGUGUUAGCAUGCGUACGGUGUUUAGAAUGGUGUUUGGCACACGGUCUGGGAAUAAAUGUCAGCUGUCACUAUGUUGUGGGUAUAUAGAUACACUACUCCUUGCAAUGUCAGUUUUUGCCCACACAAUUGCCAGCCCUCUGCCCUCAGGUGAGCCAGCCUGUCUCAUCUCAGGGCCUCACGAUGGCUUAGCUCACCCAGCAGUGGGAGCAGAUGACUGAGCUGCAGCCAGGGUUCUGUGAGUGUGGUGGGCUGAGGAGGGAAAGGAAUGAGGUUUGGAGUCCUUUUGUUGUUUUGCUUGGGUCAGAAGGAAUCUAUGGUAGCAUGCAGUCAUGAUCUUAUUUUACAGCUGCAGGAUGUUGGUAGACAAACUUCUCCCUAAUCUAUCUGAUCUAUAAGCCCAAAGGGCCUAUAAUAGGAGGCGGUCGCAGGGGGUCAGUGGCCUUCUCCUUCCCAGCAGCUGUGUGAGGUGGCUGAGCUCAGAGAAAGAGCACUUGGCUGUGGUGCAACUGGCCUAAAAUUCACAGCCCCAUUCUCUUGAUCUGAGCUGCUUCCGGGGAAUAAGGUGGCACCCAGCGUCUCAGGUGCUAUAUAGGGUACUUCCCAAGAGUUUCCCAUAUCGGUUGUAAGGUGCUGUCUGCACAUGAGGGAUGGUUUUAUGAAGACACAGGGGAGAGUUACCAGCAGAGUGACGGCCAAAGCUUUGAGCUAGAUAGUUUUCAUUUUCCUGACACAUCGCCCUAGGGUUUUCCCGAUGUUUCCAUCAAUUUGUGAAGUGCAGUGAGUGGUCAUGUCCCACAGGGAGUUUACCAUUUACUCUGGAAGACCAAACUUACGGGCUACACUCUGGGUACAGACCGUGCUAGUCCUGUGGGGAGUUGGGAAAGAGGACUGGGAGGCUUUGUGGCUGAGGAGGGGCUUCAGGGCAGCAAGGAUGAUGGCUGGGUUUGAACAGUCAGUGGAGAAGGAAGUGUGGAAAAGCCAGAGAAGUAGACAUGGAUGUGUGCAUGUCAGAGAGGGCAGGGAGACCGGGUUCAUGGAGGUGGCAGAGGCAGCACAUUGAUCUCUGCUUCUGACAGAAAAUCAGAGGGGAUAUCGGGGGGGUGGUCUGGCUACAGUACGGGCAGCCUUGAAGCCCUAGUGGAAUAAUUUCAACUGGAUUCUAUGGAAAAUUAGAUAUGACAGUGUAGGAGAGCUUAUCUUCUAACUGAAACCAGCUGGGAAUUUUUCCCGAUAGAGUCAAGGGCAGGGCAGAACGAGGGCCUUUGGUAGCAUGUGCAAAUGUACACGCGUGUAGCUAGUGUGUGUGGCCCACCAUGCUUCUAACCUACCUUUACCUCUUCUAGUUCUUCAGAUCUCUUAACCCUGUUGUCUGUGAGCAUGGACAAUCCGGGGCUUACACAGACAAGACCACAGUGUGCCGUCUUGUCAGAAGGAGAAACUGGGGCACUCUAUUCUAAAGAGGCUGGUUCUAGGACUUCUUACUCCACUGUGGAGUAAGACCCAGAGUCUUACUGCCAGGCCCCUUGCUUCAGGGAUCUGGCUUCUAAAGUUAGUUCUUUUCCUUUAUCUCAUAAAGAGGGAAAGGAUGUGCCUAAGAUAGGUUAUUUGGACGAAUGGCCAUUGUAACUGCCUCCUAUCAACACAGGUGGAUAGAGGCAGGUGUGGGGAAGAGGGCUGCCUGGAUCUGGGGUUCUCAAUCCCCCAUACUCCUUGGCCUGUUGUUGAGGGGGAGCUAGAGGAGGGGUGCAGACUUAGCAGAUUAAGAAAGAUAAACGCUUACUCCUUAACAGUAGGAAAGAGGGAUGGAAGAGGAAGAUCGAAAUCUGAGGCACGAGGAGUGGCCUAUCCUGGUGGAGGCAGGAGAGACACGUGUCCUCUACAUGCCCAUCCAAGUCUCUGAUAGGGUGGUCCUUGCUCUGAAGGAAGAGUGUGGGCCACAGGCCAUGGGGAGGCUCUGAGGUUGUGGGUGCUCCCGAUCCCCUCUCCAGAGCUGCUACCAUUGUCUUUGCCCUUGGAGUGCUCUCCUCCCACCCCCACUGCCUCUUGUUCUGUUUCUCCCUUGGGCCAUGAGAAUGGCAGGGAGCCCAGCCAGGGCCUGGACGGCGGCCUCAGCUCCCUGUUCUCAAUAACUGUGUGUGUAUGCAUGUGUGCAUGUGGCGUGCGUGUGUAUGUGUGAGUGCCUGUGUGUGUGCGCAUGUGUGUAGAGGCUGGGGUUGGGGUCAACAACAGAUCACAGCACAGGAGUAGAGAGCUUCUGGGAGGAUGGGGUCACCCAUGGGUCACGCCCUGCACCCUGGAGCCCAGAGGACCCUUCGCUCAAACCCACCGCCAGCUGACAACACGGGAGCAGCCAGAGCCACUUUCUUCGCUGCCCAGAGGAGCCUGGGAGAAGCCGGAGGUGUAAGUCAAGCUGUAGAGGACUGGGUGAGGCUGAGCCCCGUGAGAAGUGGGAGGAGCCAGGGAUGCUUAGGAGGGGCAGGCACCGUGCAGCGAGAGAGGAGGGAAAGGGGAAGCGUUCGGGCCUCUCUGCCCCUCUGUCCCCCUCUUGCUGCAUAGUAGCCGCAUCCAUGUCUCUUGCACUCUGCAAUCUGGAAGCCACCGCCAGAAGCUGAAAAUCCCACGUAGAGCAGCAAAAGGUAUGAGGAGUAGCACAAAGUUAAUGGCCAAUGGAGGCUCCCCAAAGUGCUUGGUAGGUGGUGGUCCAGUGUCCAAAGGCAGGAGUGCUGGGGUAACCCCAUAGCUGGGGGUCAUAUGGGAGAGACUGAGGAACUUUAGUUUGUGGACUCUCAGUCAACCGUGUUGCCGAGGAGGGGAAGGGGAAGUAGAUGAGGCGGUUCUCUGGACAAGACCCAAAUCCUGCUUCUACAUACUGGUGCUCACAAUGGCCAGUGCCCUGGAAAAGCUCGGGAAUAAAUACACCUGGGCCUUAGAAAGCAGAGGGGGAGGAUAAUGCCAUCCAGUGGGAGCGUUCAUUUGUUUCCUCAGCCAACCUCUGUGUCAGGCUUUCUGGGAACAAGGGCUGGAUGAACAAGGCCUUGGGAGUUCCUGUGGGGAGGGCCUGGGGGUGAAUGGGCAGUGUGGCUGGGCCGGCGGUCACUUCUCCUCUGCUUAUCCAGGCUUGAGGAUGGAUUCCUGGCUCCUGGUGCAUUGCCACUCCCUGCCACCCUCCUCCAUGUCUUCUAUCUUCUCCUGGUGGCGCCAGGCCUUGCUUCAUGUCCCAACAGGAGCCUCUGGGGCUGGCACAGCACUCGCUGCCUACAACCUGGGCCUGGUGGUUCUCCUAGGGUGCCUCUGGGAGGUCAUGGCCACCCCGCUGCUGGCUAACUGCAGCUACUUCUGCCAGCCAGUGGACUACAGAUGGAGUGAGCAUGGAAUGAGGGUAUGGCAGGGAGCAGGAAGCAAGCCUGGAGAGGGUUAGGAGGGACAACUUCAUAACAAUCAGAGGUCAAGGAGGUAUCACCUGAGCCUUUUGAUGAGAGACAGGGGACUGGCUGGUUAUGUGCAGGCUUUAGAGUCAGAUAACCUCGGACCUCGGUUUGAAUCUCAGCUCUGCCAGUUACUUGCUGUGCGACUCGGUGGCACACCUAACUCUUCUAGGACUCAAUUUUCUUAUUUAUAAAAUUGAGAUAAUAACACCUAUUUGAUAAAGGGAAAUGAUUGAAAGAAGAUGGAAUCAGAUAAUAUAUGAUAGACAUAUAUGGAAAUGUUUAGCACAGGGGCCAGCACACACUGAGUGGUAGCUAAGUAGUGAUUUCAUCACUGUUAGCUGUUCUCUGUUUCAACUAGAAGCAGAACAAAAGGCUUCCUGUAACAGAAGACUCCAGCUGAAACCUGUCACCAGGUAGCUGAGGCUUGUCACCGGGUGAUAUGGAUGUUGAGUCAUUGGAUGUUGGUGAUGGGCUCAAGUCCUGUGACUCAAAGUAUGAUCCUUGGGCCGGCAGCAUCAGCAUCAUCUGGGAGCUGGUUGGAAAUGCAGAAUCUGUACUCCACCCCAGGCACACUGAUGAAGAAUCUUCUUUCAACAAACAAGAUGCCCACAUGCUCAUUAGAUUCCAGGGUUCUGGGCUGGGGCACAUUUGGGGAGUCCUUCUGUGGUCACGCCAAUAGCUUCUCCCCUUUUUGCCUGUGCGAACAGGCAUCUUUCUGCAGACAGGUAGGCACUGUGGAAUCAGCGGUGCAUAGAACAGUGAGGAUUUGGGGCUGAACUCAGCCCAGGUGGGACAAGCUGUGGCACCAGCCGGACUGCAAUCUGAUGGAACUUCCCCGUCCUGCCCAGCAGAUGGCGAGCGUGUGCUGCUGGUGCCUCUUUCCAAAGGCCGUUGAAUUGCUUGACAGCAUCUAGAAGACCACCUGAAGCUUUCACACUAUGAGACCUUAGAUCCUGCGAGGGUUUGAAUUUCAAAGGCCUCAAUUAAAGCACGCGGUGUUCUUUAUUUUAUGAAUGAAGCCAGAGCAGCCCACCUUCCUGCAUCUCUACCAUCAUGGCACCAUGCCCUCUGAUGGGUGGGCUGGAGUCAAAUACGUAGCAGGCAGCCAGCCUUCUUCAUAGGGAUGCUUAAUUCUUUGAUCCAUGUCUUCAUGUAUCUGUAUUAUGGACUGGCCAGGUUGUGGACUCCUAUGUGGCCCUACUUCUGGUGGAAACGAUAUCUUACCACCCUACAGCUGGGUCAGUUUGUGGCCACUGCUGCCCCCUCUUGUUACAGUCUCCUCACCGAGUGCCCCUUCCCUGAUGGGUUCAAUACGUCUGUGCUCCUGUAAGCCCUCAGCUUCCUCAUUCUCUUCCUCAACUUCUACCACCAGACACACCUGAGGGGCAAGCAAGACAGGCUGAAGUAAGGGCAGGACCCAGGGACUGAAACCAGCACAGCGUCCCCACAGAGAACUGGGUGGAAGGCAGCGUGGCUUCCAGCUUACUGGUGCCAAGCAGAUUCCUCUGGGUUUCCAUUGUAUCCUCUGAAGCAAGGAGGAGGAUUGUCUUCUGUCCAGAUCUCAGGAUCAAAGAAAUAGGUCCAACUUCCUGUGCUCACUUCAGUUAGAGCACUUCCCAUGUGACUUUGUAGCUUUGUGUGCAUCUCCUUCCCCUGCUAGACCUGAACCCCCCACUGGAGGGACUCUCUUAUUCUCCAUGUUCCCCACACCUGGAAUUUUAAUAAACAUCUCAACAAACA